Molecule: long non-coding RNA, 583 nt
Organism: Acanthopagrus latus (yellowfin seabream)
Lineage: Eukaryota; Metazoa; Chordata; Actinopteri; Spariformes; Sparidae
Exons: 2
Source: RefSeq, a predicted model, not a curated record
AAGCGCCCGGUGGGUAUGCACUGAUGCUCUUUACCUCUUCUGAGAAAUCGCGGACUCCUUCAUGCUGGUGUGGUGAAUCUGGCAAUCAUGGUUCCCCUUGUAAAGGCGCAGAGGUGAUAGUGACGGGAGGAGGACGCCUGCUGUGGAGAUGGGCUGCCUCGGCCCUCGGACCGCGCAGAAUGGAAACCAGACCAGAGGAAAUCGACAAGACAUUGCUCACUACUUCCCAGCACAAAGGCACGGUCCUUCUGACACUCCCAUUUACGCUUGAGUGAGUUACCACUGAUCGCCAUUUUCGUUCUCCUUCCAGUCUGCCCGCCUGCUGUACCCGACAGACAGCGCUCUCCUUAGAAUUAGCCAAAAUCUGGGCAGACUCACCUAAAACCGGACACCGCGGCUCUUUGGCUACCUUCCUGGCCGUGCCACGCUGUGCCUCGCCCGGAUAGAUGCAGCCACAGGAAGCUGAUUUAACGACACUGUGUGCAUCGUUUCUCAUCCUCCUUCUGUGCUGAUCAAUUAAAUGUCAUUUUAUCCCAUAAGAGGGGCUGUCAGAGGGUAUCCUGUUAAUAAAGUCUAGAAAGUG